Molecule: long non-coding RNA, 1752 nt
Organism: Helianthus annuus (common sunflower)
Lineage: Eukaryota; Viridiplantae; Streptophyta; Magnoliopsida; Asterales; Asteraceae
Exons: 3
Source: RefSeq, a predicted model, not a curated record
UUCCGAAACACCGCCGCCGCCCAAAUAAUUCACGCGUUGAGUUUGUAACGCGUUGAGUUUUUGACGCGUUGAAGAAUGAAGAAGUAGCCGUUUUUUUGACCGUUGGGGGAUGAUUGUUGCUGCAUUUGACCAACAACAACAGCAGCAAGACAGCAGCUCCGGCAACAACAACAACAACAGCAACAACAAAAGCUCCAUUGUUGCUGAUCUUCUGCGUGUCCACCAGAGAAACCGUCGGCGUCGGAGCUCCGGCAACAACCUAUUCUCGUCAUUCGGUCCCCAAUAGCAGGUAUUCUUAGGUGAUUGUGGGUCGAUUUCACUGUGUGAGCGAAAGCCCCAUAUCAAUUUAGGAGAUUAUAAGCUUAUCUCCUUCAAUUUUGUGUUAACUUGAACUAGGGUUCAUGGUGAUUAUGUAUGUGAUUUUUUUUCUUUUGAACGGCCAUGAAUAUUUAUUUGUGUUAAUUUAUAAUUUAAAAAAAUUAAAAAAUUAAAAAAUUUGUGAGUGAUGGAAUUUGUACAAGUGAUGACCAUUUCCAGCAAAAAAGGAUGUGAGUGAUGGAAAUAAUGGUUGAUAAUAUGGCAGAACCUGAUUGGAUGUUGUGAGUGAUGGAAUUGUUUCUGAGUUAUACCACCCCUACCCCCUUAGACAGCUCGUGAUCUUAGCCCUUUAAAUUCAUUUAAACCUUCUAGAAUGGGAGGUUGAGGACGGUUCCAAGAGGUUACAGCACUUCCACUAUUUUAACCCCACUACCACGAUACAAGAAACUACCAUUAGACAGCCCGUGUUCUACAAAAUCAGAAGAGGAAUAGCAAGACGGAGAGGUACAAUUUGAUUCCUAUAUACGGUUUAGGGUAUAAUUCAUGCUACUGUCCUUGUAUACGUGUUGUUUUCAUUGUCGCUAUCAUCUUCAGUAGUAUCGCGUAUAUGUGCAUCAAUCGAUGGUACAAGCUCGGCUGAUUAUAUAGGCCUUGAUCUGAUCCUUCCAAGGUGCAGAACUGUUCUCUCAAAGCUUUUUAUGGUGAUUAACUAACAAAAUUGGGUUUGUUUAUGACUUAUUUUUUCAGUUCUGAAGCAAAUUAAUCGAAAUUGCAAACAACGCUCAUUCUGGCGCUGGCUCAGUUACAAGCAUUGUCAUGUUCAUUUUUUUUUGCAAGGUGAAUUCUGAGGUUGUUGGAGAUAUAAAAAAACCAGCUUAAGAUUUGUGGAAAAGGAUGAAAGUGGUUGACAAUGGAGGUUAUGUGGUUGUCAGGACGAAGAUGCUGAUCACUUAUUCACAUCAUGUGUUGUAUCCACGGUACUACGGCAAAAGAUUAGUUCAUGGUGCAACAUUCCCCAACUGUUUGGUUUCAAUGUUAGGGAUCUACAUCUACUACAAAAUCACAGCACUUUAAAGUUUAAAUGUAUGAGAACACAAAUAGAGAUUGAUUAGAGUGGUGAUUUUAGCCACAUGUUGGAUGAUUUGGAAGGCACAAAACGAAGUUAUUUUUGCCAGAAAACGGGUCAACAUCAACGGGGUUUUUGGAGAAGUUCAAGCAAUGACAUACCUUUGGGUCAAGAAUAGGGCGAGGCGAAACAAUAGAGCGUUGGCUAAUUGGGUGACGUUUAAUAUUUCGACAAUGUGAAUGUAACUUGGUUAACCUGUAGGUUUGCUAGGUGAUGUAAUGUGUUUGUCUCCAGCAACUUGCUAGUGACAUCUGUACAUAUUUGGUGAUAUGAAAUGAAUGUUGUUUGCCAAUCAAAAGAAGAUAAAA